AUAUAUAUAUUCUAAACUAUCUAUUUGUGAUUCUAAUUUUGAUAUUUCAUCUUUUUGUGUAUCUAUUGAGUUUUUAUUAACUCCGGCAAAUAUAUUAUAAUGUAGUCUUUUUAUUCUUAUUUUUAAUUCUUUACGUUUUUCAGAAAUAAUUUGUUUUAAUUCUUUGUAUUGUUGUACUUUAUUCAUUUUAAAUUAUAUUUAUAAUAUCUUGGCGGAUAUCUAAAUCUAAUUUUAUCAUAAU
This 241-nucleotide long non-coding RNA is filed under the name Capsicum annuum. Its description in RNAcentral is "long non-coding RNA (CANN_LNC000319)". Lineage: Eukaryota; Viridiplantae; Streptophyta; Magnoliopsida; Solanales; Solanaceae. The record is from RNAcentral.